UUGGUUCUACAAAAGUCUCUGGCUUCAGGCCUGGUAGUGUUAUAGCAGACUACACAAUAAAUGCAACAUCCAACAGCCUUGAUUUUGGAGCAGCAAACACACAGGUUUCUGACUCUCUAAAGGCACAAGGAAUAAUUUUAACUGAAGAUGCUUUUGCUCAAAGUGAUCAAACCAUUUUCACAACAGAUCAGUUAUAUCCUCUGCAAAAGGUGGACCUGAACUGUAUACAGCCAGACUUUGCAAAGGGACAAAUAAAAUGGACAGUGGAUAACAAAGAUCCUGCACUA
Molecule: long non-coding RNA, 287 nt
Organism: Sinocyclocheilus grahami
Lineage: Eukaryota; Metazoa; Chordata; Actinopteri; Cypriniformes; Cyprinidae
Exons: 3
Source: RefSeq, a predicted model, not a curated record